Molecule: long non-coding RNA, 879 nt
Organism: Brassica napus (rape)
Lineage: Eukaryota; Viridiplantae; Streptophyta; Magnoliopsida; Brassicales; Brassicaceae
Exons: 2
Source: RefSeq, a predicted model, not a curated record
UCCUAUCAAAAAAUAAAAUGAAAAUUUUUAAACUUUUUAACAUAAAUAUAUUAAAAUAUAAGGAGAAUAAAAGUAACCAAUAAUUAUAUUUUCAGAUUCUUCGGAUUAUCAUGCGAAACAUUUUCAGGGACCUAUAUACAUGUUCACAUAUAAGGAUAUCGAUAAGAAAUUAGUAAAUGCUAAAAUUGGUGGCUAAUCUAUUGCUAGUUUAUUUUAUCUACAUAUUUAAUUGUUCAACGUUACAUAUAUAUAUAUGGUUGUCGUUAAUAGGUAUUUUUAGGUGCUGACUUAUUGUAUCAAAAACGAAAAUGAAUAUUUUAAAUAAAAUUUAACAAAAAUAUUUUAGGAUAUAAAGAAAAUAAAACUAACCAAUCAAUUGAAAACAGUUUUUCUGGAUAAUUCUAAAAAUAGUCUUCAAAGACCUAUAUAUAUGUAUAUGUUCAUACGUAGGGUUUCCUAAAAUACACACACAAAGCAUUUUUUUACUGUGAAAGUUUACAAUGUCGGCAUUGAAAUUUGCUAUAUUUUGUAUUGUUCUCAUUUGUCUUGCUAGUCUUCAUGAAUGUGCCAACCCGGAAAGAAAGCCCAAAGGAACAUGCUCUAAAACACCAAAGAAUGUUUGGUGUUGCAGUUCCACUACACACUGCCGAAGCACCAAAGCGGAUUGUGAGAAGAUAUGUAUCUGGUAGUAUCUGGGGCCGUUGAAUUUUACCAAAGAGAUUUUCAAUAAUUAUAUAUUCCAAUAAUUUUCAUAAUUCUAUUAUUCAAAAUUUAAAGAAUAAAUAGAAAUUCCUAUUCCACAGGAGCAGCUAGUAUUAUGUACUAAAUGUUUUGGAGUUUCUUUGAAAGAUCAAUAUAUAUAGUUGUAACUUUCUUCAA